RNAcentral lists this ribosomal RNA (497 nucleotides) under uncultured bacterium. Its description in RNAcentral is "partial 16S ribosomal RNA". It matches the Rfam family "Bacterial small subunit ribosomal RNA", at positions 28 to 507 of the family's 1533-position model. The record is from RNAcentral.
GACGAACGCUGGCGGCGUGCCUAAUACAUGCAAGUUGAGCGCUGAAGGUUGGUACUUGUACCAACUGGAUGAGCAGCGAACGGGUGAGUAACGCGUGGGGAAUCUGCCUUUGAGCGGGGGACAACAUUUGGAAACGAAUGCUAAUACCGCAUAAAAACUUUAAACACAAGUUUUAAGUUUGAAAGAUGCAAUUGCAUCACUCAAAGAUGAUCCCGCGUUGUAUUAGCUAGUUGGUGAGGUAAAGGCUCACCAAGGCGAUGAUACAUAGCCGACCUGAGAGGGUGAGUGGCCACAUUGGGACUGAGACACGGCCCAAACUCCUACGGGAGGCAGCAGUAGGGAAUCUUCGGCCAUGGACGAAAGUCUGACCGAGCAACGCCGAGUGAGUGAAGAAGGUUUUCGGAUCGGAAAACUCUGUUGGUAGAGAAGAACGUUGGUGAGAGUGGAAAGCUCAUCAAGUGACGGUAACUACCCAGAAAGGGACGGCUAACUACGUG